This is a non-coding RNA of Eptesicus fuscus (big brown bat), 81 nucleotides long. The record is from RefSeq and is marked provisional. Lineage: Eukaryota; Metazoa; Chordata; Mammalia; Chiroptera; Vespertilionidae.
CGCUGACUGCCACGGGGGCUGUGGAUCAGACUCUGCUUCUCUCUCUGGGCCUGAUCCGCAGCCCCUUCCACAGUCAGUGAC